ACCUGUGAAUAAUGGGGCUUUGUCACUGACUUGUAAUCAGUAGGUCCCGGGUUCGAUUCCUGGUGCCGGCACCA
RNAcentral lists this transfer RNA (74 nucleotides) under Pseudomonas sp. 8AS. Its description in RNAcentral is "tRNA-Thr". Lineage: Bacteria; Pseudomonadati; Pseudomonadota; Gammaproteobacteria; Pseudomonadales; Pseudomonadaceae. The record is from RNAcentral.